ACUCAAAUGAAUUGACGGGAAGGCGCACAACCAGGGGAGCAUGUGGUUCAAUUCGAUACGAAGCGAAAGACCUUACCCAGGCUUGACAUGCAAUCGUACAUUUCCCGUGAAAGCGGGAGAAAUUCGCAAGGAUGAUUGCACAGGUGUUGCAUGGCUGUCGUCAGCUCGUGCCGUGGGGUGUCUGCUUAAGUGCAGAAACGAGCGCAACCCCCAUCCAGUGUUCAUUUGUCACUGGAAACUGCCCCGCCUAUGGCGGGGAGGAAGGAGGGGAUGAUGUCAAGUCAGCAUGAUCCUUAUGCCUGGGGCCACACACAUCCUACAAUGGAGUGGAACAAUGGGUUGCUAAGCCGUAAGGUGGAGCCAAUCCCAACAAAACACUCCUCAGUUCAGAUCGAGGGCUGCAAUUCGCCCUCGUGAAGACGGACUUGGUAGUAAUCGCGGAUCAGCAGGCCGCGGUGAAUACGUUCUCGCCUUUUGUACACACCGCCCGU
RNAcentral lists this ribosomal RNA (491 nucleotides) under uncultured bacterium. RNAcentral describes it as "partial 16S ribosomal RNA". It matches the Rfam family "Bacterial small subunit ribosomal RNA", at positions 899 to 1397 of the family's 1533-position model. The record is from RNAcentral.